This 269-nucleotide ribosomal RNA is filed under the name uncultured bacterium. RNAcentral's name for it is "partial 16S ribosomal RNA". It matches the Rfam family "Bacterial small subunit ribosomal RNA", at positions 88 to 354 of the family's 1533-position model. The record is from RNAcentral.
CCGGCGACCGGCGCACGGUGAGUAACACGUAUGCAACCUGGCCGUGACAGAUGGAUAACCGGGAGAAAUCCCGCCUAAUACAACAUAAUGCCGGGAGGGGACAUCCCCUGCCGGUCAAAGGGGGCGACCCCGGUCAUGGAUGGGCAUGCGGCGCAUUAGGUAGUUGGUGGGGCAACGGCCCACCAAGCCGACGAUGCGUAGGGGUUCUGAGAGGAAGGUCCCCCACAUUGGAACUGAGACACGGUCCAAACUCCUACGGAAGGCAGCAG